Vigna umbellata (rice bean) is the source of this 600-nucleotide non-coding RNA. The record is from RefSeq and is a predicted model, not a curated record. Lineage: Eukaryota; Viridiplantae; Streptophyta; Magnoliopsida; Fabales; Fabaceae.
GACAGUGACAUUUUAUACAUGGAUGCAUACUGUGAAAUAGCAUCAGAAACAUAUUACAUAAAGUCAUUACAUUGUCAACAGAAUUCUCAUCCAUACACAAUCUUGUUUUGUUUAUAGCUAUUCAAAUGAGAAAUCAGAAACCCGAAUAUCCGAGUCAGCAUCAGAAGCAACAUCAUCCACUUCAAACCAAAAUUCUAAGGAAUAAAUGAAUUGAAAAGUGAGGAAAACUAUUUAGGCUUCAUGGCAAUUACAAAGUGAACCUCGAAAUAUUCGAAGAAUGUAUCAGUUGAAGGUCCAAUUGAGCGACCUGAGGUUGUGAUCUACUCGCUGCCCAUACAGGAUAUACACUUACACAGCUCGUGUUGAUUGCUUCUAGCUAUGAUCAGAGCUUUUUAGGUUGCAGUUAUCAGAAUAAAUGCAUAGAUGAUUGUAUAUAUAAUAGGAUAAUACAUUCAGAACAAAAGCUAUGUUCCUUUCUUUGAAGUGUAUCAUACAUCCAUACUUCUGCAUAAAACAAAUUCGUCUCAUGUACUGUGUUGGAAACAUUGUCUUUGGAAUUUCAUUUGCUCCUGUAUUUUAUAAGAAAAAACGGAUAUAAUA